GACGAACGCUGGCGGCGUGCCUAAUACAUGCAAGUAGAACGCUGAAGAAGAGGAGCUUGCUCUUCUUGGAUGAGUUGCGAACGGGUGAGUAACGCGUAGGUAACCUGCCUUGUAGCGGGGGAUAACUAUUGGAAACGAUAGCUAAUACCGCAUAACAAUGGAUGACACAUGUCAUUUAUUUGAAAGGGGCAAUUGCUCCACUACAAGAUGGACCUGCGUUGUAUUAGCUAGUAGGUGAGGUAACGGCUCACCUAGGCGACGAUACAUAGCCGACCUGAGAGGGUGAUCGGCCACACUGGGACUGAGACACGGCCCAGACUCCUACGGGAGGCAGCAGUAGGGAAUCUUCGGCAAUGGGGGCAACCCUGACCGAGCAACGCCGCGUGAGUGAAGAAGGUUUUCGGAUCGUAAAGCUCUGUUGUAAGUCAAGAACGAGUGUGAGAGUGGAAAGUUCACACUGUGACGGUAGCUUACCAGAAAGGGACGGCUAACUACGUGCCAGCAGCCGCGGUAAUACGUAGGUCCCGAGCGUUGUCCGGAUUUAUUGGGCGUAAAGCGAGCGCAGGCGGUUUGAUAAGUCUGAAGUUAAAGGCUGUGGCUCAACCAUAGUUCGCUUUGGAAACUGUCAAACUUGAGUGCAGAAGGGGAGAGUGGAAUUCCAUGUGUAGCGGUGAAAUGCGUAGAUAUAUGGAGGAACACCGGUGGCGAAAGCGGCUCUCUGGUCUGUAACUGACGCUGAGGCUCGAAAGCGUGGGGAGCGAACAGGAUUAGAUACCCUGGUAGUCCACGCCGUAAACGAUGAGUGCUGGGUGUUGGAUCCUUUCCGGGAUUCAGUGCCGCAGCUAACGCAUUAAGCACUCCGCCUGGGGAGUACGACCGCAAGGUUGAAACUCAAAGGAAUUGACGGGGGCCCGCACAAGCGGUGGAGCAUGUGGUUUAAUUCGAAGCAACGCGAAGAACCUUACCAGGUCUUGACAUCCCGAUGCUAUUUCUAGAGAUAGAAAGUUACUUCGGUACAUCAGUGACAGGUGGUGCAUGGUUGUCGUCAGCUCGUGUCGUGAGAUGUUGGGUUAAGUCCCGCAACGAGCGCGACCCCUAUUGUUAGUUGCCAUCAUUCAGUUGGGCACUCUAGCGAGACUGCCGGUAAUAAACCGGAGGAAGGUGGGGAUGACGUCAAAUCAUCAUGCCCCUUAUGACCUGGGCUACACACGUGCUACAAUGGUUGGUACAACGAGUUGCGAGUCGGUGACGGCAAGCUAAUCUCUUAAAGCCAAUCUCAGUUCGGAUUGUAGGCUGCAACUCGCCUACAUGAAGUCGGAAUCGCUAGUAAUCGCGGAUCAGCACGCCGCGGUGAAUACGUUCCCGGGCCU
This 1370-nucleotide ribosomal RNA is filed under the name uncultured bacterium. Its description in RNAcentral is "bacterial SSU rRNA". It matches the Rfam family "Bacterial small subunit ribosomal RNA", at positions 28 to 1381 of the family's 1533-position model. The record is from RNAcentral.